Molecule: ribosomal RNA, 905 nt
Filed under: Mucor indicus
Lineage: Eukaryota; Fungi; Mucoromycota; Mucoromycetes; Mucorales; Mucoraceae
Description: partial 18S ribosomal RNA
Rfam family: Eukaryotic large subunit ribosomal RNA (bases 681-905)
Source: RNAcentral
AUGAUGGUAUAGUGAGCAUAUGGGAUCCGGUGGAUCGAGCUGGAAACAGCUCUUUCCUGCGGAGAACUAUGGCAAACUAGGCUAUUUAGAGGAAGUAAAAGUCGUAACAAGGUUUCCGUAGGUGAACCUGCGGAAGGAUCAUUAAAUAAUCUGAUAAUCAAAAAUUAUCUUAUUUACUGUGAACUGUUUUUAUUUAUGACGUAUAAGGGGAUGUCUUUAGGCUAUAAGGGUAGGCCUAUGGAAUGCUAACCUAGUCAUAGUCAAGCUUGAUGCUUGGUACCCGAUUAUUACUUACCAAAAGAAUUCAGUUUAAAAUAUUGUAACAUAGACCUAAAAAAUCUAUAAAACAACUUUUAACAAUGGAUCUCUUGGUUCUCGCAUCGAUGAAGAACGUAGCAAAGUGGAUAACUAGUGUGAAUUGCAUAUUCAGUGAAUCAUCGAGUCUUUGAACGCAUCUUGCACUCAAUGGUAUUCCAUUGAGUACGCCUGUUUCAGUAUCAAAAACAACCCUUAUUCAAAAAUUUUUUUUGAGUAGAUAUGAGUGUAGCAACCUUACAAGUUGAGACAUUUUAAAUAAAGUCAGGCCAUAUCGUGGAUUGAGUGCCGAUACUUUUUUAAUUUUGAAAAGGUAAAGCAUGUUGAUGUCCGCUUUUUGGGCCUCCCAAAUAACUUUUUAAACUUGAUCUGAAAUCAGGUGGGAUUACCCGCUGAACUUAAGCAUAUCAAUAAGCGGAGGAAAAGAAAAUAACAAUGAUUUCCCCAGUAACGGCGAGUGAAGAGGAAAGAGCUCAAAGUUGGAACCUGUUUGGCUUAGCUAAACCGGAUUGUAAACUGUAGAAACGUUUUCCUGGCACGCCAGAUAAAUAAGUCCUUUGGAACAGGGCAUCAUAGAGGGUGAGAAUCCC